AACGUUAGUUCGCUCUCUUUGUUCAGCGAAGUUUUGUGUGUUGGCAGUAUUGCGUUGCAACAUGUCCUCUUCAGAAAGUUGCUUUGUGAUUGCAGGCGUAGACUCCCGUCUACCUCAUGAUGGGUGUGCUGGAGCACGUGGCUUCGCAUGAUUUGCUCCAUAGGCGUUUGUAGCCUACGUGUUGAACGUCUGCAUUUGAUGAAUCAAUUAUAAAUUGCAGUAAACGCGAUGAAGAGUUAAGUUGGCGAUUUCAGAGAUGGUAAGAAUGAAGUUCCCAACUGCAAAAAUGUGGUGGCCUCCUAAGAGAUGUAAGAAGACAGAAGUCCCUUUGGUGGUAUACAUUUUGGAAUAUGAUCUCCGGCUUCUGCAUGGAUGCUAAUGUGCAAAUGUAACUUUGAAACUUUAAAUGGUGUUAGAGUUCUGAAUGAGUUGCUAUUUAGAUGUUUGGAUGAAUGUCUUUUUCAAUAAAAGUGUGAAACCGUAACUUGUGAUGUAUAGCUAUC
Sinocyclocheilus anshuiensis is the source of this 503-nucleotide long non-coding RNA. RefSeq lists it as uncharacterized. The record is from RefSeq and is a predicted model, not a curated record. The transcript has 4 exons. NCBI's taxonomy places the organism in Eukaryota, Metazoa, Chordata, Actinopteri, Cypriniformes, Cyprinidae.